Molecule: long non-coding RNA, 2203 nt
Organism: Astatotilapia calliptera (eastern happy)
Lineage: Eukaryota; Metazoa; Chordata; Actinopteri; Cichliformes; Cichlidae
Source: Ensembl
AGGAAACCCAGGGAACCAUGAAAAUCCAAAAUCCAAACUGUCUGAUUAAAAAGUCAGAAUCGACAAAGUCAUUUAAUGAAGUCGAUCCUCUAGAGACUAAGAAUAUCUGUACAAAGUUUAAUGUCUUUAGUCCAGAUCCAGUCCAUGUGGACUAAAGUAGUGGACUGACCAACAGACUGACAUUAACAUCAGAGCCGUGCUGCUAGUGUGGCUAAAAGAAAAGAGAAGAAGAGACAGUCAUGUUGAUAUGAACAUUAGAGAAACACAUCAUGGAGCUGAAAUAUGAUCCUGCUUCCUCAUUUGGACUCAUUCACCUCAGCUGACACGUUCAACAGCAGACAGGUUUUUGUAGCAGUCUGUCUCACUGUGGGAGGAUACAGCUACUUCAUCUUUGGCUCUGGAACUAAACUGUCUGUAACAGGUAAGAACAAACAUUUAUUUUCCUUCAGUUGUUUUAUUGUAGAAGCUGAAAAUGUGUUUAAAGUCAGUUUGUGCUGCUUCAGGCUUUACAUGUUAGUUUUUCAUCAUUAGUAGAGAAUUCAUCUGCAGCCAUUGUUACAUAAGAAAAGCUCAAUAAUCUCUGAAAACAUGUUGAAAUCUCACUGAACAACUAAAGUUAUUCUUUAUUUCUGCAAAUAUUAGUGAUGUUACAAAUAUUUAGGAUUUGAUCCUCUCAGUGAUUCUGCACCAUAAAGAUUUUUUAAGAAUUUAUUGAAGAAAUUUUAAUAAAUAUGAAAACUGAAAGGAAAAUUAUAUUAAACACAACUUUUACAUAAUUGUUUUUAACUUAAGACAUAACAUUACAAAUUCUAACACACAAAUCUUAAUGCUCAUUUUCAUUUUAAACAUAUAUGGCAUAGGUGUUUGUUAGAAUAACUGUUGCUUACAAGUUUAUAAAAUAUGUAAAACAAAAUCCAGACACAAAAAAGUUUAUUUACACUGCUGAGUUUUGUUUUUUUGUUUUUGUUCUUUACAAUCAUCUGUUCUCCUAACAACAUGACUUCAUAAAGUAUAUCGUAAAUGGACUGAUUCGUAUAUAGCACUUUUCUACUCCCUCGGAGUACUCAAAGCUCUCUAUACAACAUGCCACAUUCACCCAAUCACUUUAUCUAUACUUAGUGCUUUCUAACUACAAUCACACACAUUCACACUCCGAUGGAUGCAUCGGAGAGCAACUCGGGGUUAGUAUCUUGCCCAAGGAUACUCUGCAUGCAAACUGGAGGAUCGAACCACCAACCUUCCAAUCAGUAGGUGACCUGCUCUACCUCCUGAGCCACAGCCACCCCACCAUGUAUUAAAAGAAUGAAGCUCCAGGCUGGUAAUGGACAAGGAGAAGUGUGGUGUAUGUUAUGAAAAGGCUGUGAGCCCACACCUACAGCCAGUUUAGAAGUCAGUCUAACAUACUUGUCUUUUGAAUGUAGAAGGAAACCUGAGUGGACAGAAAAGGACGACACAAGCACCAAGUAUACAUGUGACCACACAGCAACCACCAUCAGGACCCAGAGUCCACGUGGACGGGAACAGCUCCCUGCUGUGUGUCCCCCCAGGCAUCUUUCCUUUUCUGGUCCAGCUGUCAUGUAGAAACCAGACAAGGAACGGCCGACUGAAGCAGCUGCCCACUGCUGACGGAGAGCAGUCAGAGCUCAGAGAGUCGAGGCCCUACUCUCCCAUCUUAAUGACCCAUGAAAGCAGCACCUAUGAAUGUGACUGCUACAUAAAGCACAGGGGGAAGCUCCAAACACAACAAGAUUAUGUGCCAUCUAUGUUCGAGGUGAAGUCGAUCUACAUGCUGUACACAGUGCUGAUAGUGAAGAGUCUGGUGUACUGCUGUGGACUCUCUCUGCUGAUGAUGCUCACAAACAAGGGAGCGUCCACCAACUGCACACAUGCUGACUGACUGUUUCCUGCUCGCCUUUUCUCACCAUCACAUCUCAUCAAUUCAUCUCAUUCAUCACUUUGAUCAGUGUUGUGUUUAUGAUGUAGUUCAUUCCGCUUCUAUUUUGCUUUUAUAUUGCAUUUUUAUGCACACUGUAUUCUAAAGUAAUGUAUAUAUGGACAGUUAUGGAUCAAAUGGAAAUUCCUAUAAUAAACUGAUCACUGAUCAAAAUAAAUGUGAUUUUUAUUGUCUAGUUAUUUUGAUUUUUAAUUUGGUCAUGUAUUCUAAAACAAAAAAAUAAAGCUUCAUAUUUUAUCAUUGUUAUAG